GCUCUCGUGGCGUAGUUGGUUAUCGCGUCUGCUUUACACGCAGAAGGUCCUCGGUUCGAACCCGAGCGAGAGCA
RNAcentral lists this transfer RNA (74 nucleotides) under Backusella circina FSU 941. RNAcentral's name for it is "tRNA-Val". It matches the Rfam family "tRNA". From Rfam's summary of the family: Transfer RNA (tRNA) molecules are approximately 80 nucleotides in length. Their secondary structure includes four short double-helical elements and three loops (D, anti-codon, and T loops). The record is from RNAcentral. Lineage: Eukaryota; Fungi; Mucoromycota; Mucoromycetes; Mucorales; Backusellaceae.